GUUAGAUUUGGCCUGGAGGCUGUAGCUUGCCAACUCCUCCUCUGGAUUCAUGGAUUAGAGUUUAAGGAAGAGAUGGAGAAGUAUGGCAGAAGAACUGGAGUGAGGCCGAACCCCGUGGUGUUCUAGAAGAAAGGCUCUUGACACAAGCAUCUGGCAGUUAUUUUUCAGGGGAGAACCUACAAAUUAUAAGGCUGUGCAGCUCCCCUUACUAGUCAAGUGAUUACACUUUUGUUUUCUUUUAUUUUUUUUUAGAGACAGGAUCUCCCUCUGUCACCCAGGCUGGAGUGUGGUGCCGCAGUCACAGCUCACUGCAGCCUCGAACUUGUGGGCUCAAGUGAUCCUGCCUCAGCCUCCUGAGUAGCUGGGACUACAGACACACUCCACCAUGCCUGGGGUCUCACUCUGUCACCCAGGCUGGAGUACAGUGGUGCCAUUGCAGAUCACUGCAGCCUCAACCUCCUGGGUUCAAGUGAUCCUCCCACCUCAGCCUCCUGAGUAAUUAGGAUUACAGGCUUAAGCCACCAUGCCCAGCCUACUUUAAUCAUUUUUUAAUUUUAAUUUUAUUUAUUUUUUUAAAUUUUACUUUAAGUUCUGAGAUUCAUGUGCAGAACGUGCAGGUUUGUUACAUAGGUAUACACAUGUCAUAGUGGUUUGCCGCAGCUGUCAACCCGUCAUCUAGGUUUUAAGCCCUGCAUGCCUUAGGUAUUUCUCCUAAUGCUGCCCCUCCCGCAGCCCCCCAUCCUCAGACAGGCCCCGGUGUGUGAUACUCCCCUCCCUGUGUCCAUGUGUUCUCAUUGCUCAACUGCCACUUAUAAGUGAGAACAUGCAGUGUUUGGUUUUCUGUUCCUGUGUUAGUUUGCUGAAAAUGAUGGCUUCCAGCUUCAUCCGUGUCCCUGCAAAAGACAUGAGUUCAUUAUUUUUUAUGGCUGCAUAGUAUUCCAUGGUGUAUAUAUGCCACAUUUUCUUUAUCCAGUCUAUCACUGAUGGGCAUUUGGGUUGGUUCCAAGUCUUUGCUAUUGUAAAUAGUGCUGCAAUAAACAUAUGUGUACAGGUGUCUUUACAGUAGAAUGAUUUAUAAUCCUUUGGGUAUGUACCCAGUAAUGGGAUCACUGGGUCAAAUGGUAUUUCUGGUUCUAGAUCCUUGAGGAAUCGCCACAAUGUCUUCCACAAUGGCUGAACUAAUUUACACUCCCACCAACAGUGUAAAAGCGUUCCUAUUUCUCCACAGCCUUGCCAGCAUCUGUUGUUUUCUGACUUUUUAAUAAUCGCCAUUCUAACUGGUGUGAGAUGGUAUCUCAUUGUGGUUUUGAUUUGCAUGUCUCUAAUGACCAGUGAUGAUGAGCGUUUCUUCAUAUGUUUGUU
RNAcentral lists this long non-coding RNA (1362 nucleotides) under Homo sapiens (human). RNAcentral's name for it is "HSALNT0404992". Lineage: Eukaryota; Metazoa; Chordata; Mammalia; Primates; Hominidae. The record is from RNAcentral.